UUGAAUGUAACCAUUUUGAUAUUCUUCUGUUGUAAUCCUCAUUUACAGACAACUACAAAGCUGCCAUUAUUAAUUUUCUGUGCCUCCCCAUUGCCAACAUAUUGGUUGUGGUGUUUAUGGUGAUCUAUGAGAACUACAUGAAGAAGCGCAGAGAGUCCAGAAGUGGUGUGAAUGACGACAUGAUGCUUGAAUCAACAGCAAUCUACAUGAAUACACGACCUCCUGGACGGCGUCAUAAAGCAGCUCACUGAUGAAGGAAGGCCUGAUGGAGCUUCACAUCAAAUCACCAUUUACUCUUUAUGAUAAGUUUUCAAGUUAUUCAGCUUGCAGUAGAUAUUUUAUCACAUUUUAGAGGCUAUUUUUAAAUUUGUAUUAUUGUAAUUAGCCAAGAGCUCCAAUAUU
Acanthochromis polyacanthus (spiny chromis) is the source of this 402-nucleotide long non-coding RNA. RefSeq lists it as uncharacterized. NCBI's taxonomy places the organism in Eukaryota, Metazoa, Chordata, Actinopteri, Pomacentridae. The transcript has 3 exons. The record is from RefSeq and is a predicted model, not a curated record.